GACGGUACUUUAGGAGGAAGCUCCGGCUAACUACGUGCCAGCAGCCGCGGUAAUACGUGGGGAGCGAGCGUUGUCCGGAAUUACUGGGUGUAAAGGGAGCGUAGGCGGGAUUGCAAGUCAGAUGUGAAAGGCGGGAGCUCAACUCCCGAGCUGCAUUUGAAACUGUAGUUCUUGAGUGAAGUAGAGGUAAGCGGAAUUCCUGGUGUAGCGGUGAAAUGCGUAGAUAUCAGGAGGAACACCGGUGGCGAAGGCGGCUUACUGGGCUUUUACUGACGCUGAGGCUCGAAAGCGUGGGGAGCAAACAGGAUUAGAUACCCAGGUAGUCCACGCUGUAAACGAUGAUUACUAGGUGUGGGGGGACUGACCCCUUCCGUGCCGCAGUUAACGCAAUAAGUAAUCCACCUGGGGAGUACGGCCGCAAGGUUGAAACUCAAAGGAAUUGACGGGGGCCCGCACAAGCAGUGGAGUAUGUGGUUUAAUUCGAAGCAACGCGAAGAACCUUACCAGGUCUUGACAUCGUAUGCAUACCAUAGAGAUAUGGGAAAUCCCUUCGGGGACAUAUAGACAGGUGGUGCAUGGUUGUCGUCAGCUCGUGUCGUGAGAUGUUGGGUUAAGUCCCGCAACGAGCGCAACCCUUACCUUUAGUUGCUACGCAAGAGCACUCUAAAGGGACUGCCGUUGACAAAACGGAGGAAGGUGGGGAUGACGUCAAAUCAUCAUGCCCCUUAUGACCUGUG
Molecule: ribosomal RNA, 737 nt
Filed under: uncultured rumen bacterium
Lineage: Bacteria
Description: bacterial SSU rRNA
Rfam family: Bacterial small subunit ribosomal RNA
Source: RNAcentral